This 23-nucleotide microRNA is filed under the name Strongylocentrotus purpuratus (purple sea urchin). Its description in RNAcentral is "Spu-Mir-92-o15_5p* (star (passenger))". Lineage: Eukaryota; Metazoa; Echinodermata; Echinoidea; Camarodonta; Strongylocentrotidae. The record is from RNAcentral.
UGGUCGUGAGGAGUUGCAAUUUG